AGUUUGGCUGGGUAAUGGAAGAAUUUCUACAUACAUUCAUUACUUCUGAUCAGGCAAGACCAGUCUGACACAGGAACAGUCUAUGGCUCACUCUUAAAGCCACAGCAGGCUGCCAGGGCUUGGAGAAAUAGAAACCUCUCUUGCACAAGAAUAGUCUCAAUGAAUCAUGUUAAGGCCUCUUUAGGUUUUUCAGACUCCAUGCACCCUGUGGAAACUGCCUUUCUUGAGUAGAGGUACGUUCAGCACUUCAUAAAAUAAUCUUGGAGCCUCCAGACACACGGAUGGAGGAGCAUGAUUUCAUUUGUUUCUUUGCAAAACUGCUGUCCCCAACUGAAAAACCUGAUUAUCCUUUCAAAUAGGGAAUUCGGCUUUCCACGUUGGAACCAGAACAGUUAACCUUCAAACCCCCAAGGCUUGCAAGAGAUGAAUCAGUUUCUCAGACAGCCAAAGCCGUGGCUUAUAACUCAUCCAACCCAGAAAACUGGACCGCUGGUCACCUUCCUUCCCCCUGCCCCCAACUCUGCAGACAGAGGUUUCCCGUUGAUUAUGCCUUGAUUAGAGUCAGGAGAGAAGCAAACCAGGUAUAUAGGAUUCCAUUAUCCUUCCCUCCUCUGCUCCCAACCAGGGUCACGCUGAGAGGGAUCUCGGUGAACAUGUGAACAAUCAAGCCAUGUUUACCAUGGACGUUUAGUUUUCUUUUCUCAAAAUCAAAACAGAGUUUAGUAGGCAGCGUAUUUCAUACAUGCCCCUUGAUCAAUGGAAUGAUCUGUCAGAAGCCAUUAAAGCCCCCAUUAGCUUGAAUGCAUUCAAAGCUAAACUAUUGGAUCAUUUAAGGGCUGCAGUGAUUGUUUU
This 852-nucleotide long non-coding RNA is filed under the name Homo sapiens (human). RNAcentral describes it as "long non-coding RNA NONHSAT236042". Lineage: Eukaryota; Metazoa; Chordata; Mammalia; Primates; Hominidae. The record is from RNAcentral.